AUGGAAACCGGAUUGGUUGCAAUGUGGCACAGAACUGGAACCUUCCUGAGAGAGGUUGGGGCAGGCAGUGACUGUUCGGACGUCCAGAUUCUUUGGGACACCUCUUCAGCGCUGUCUCCCCUGCCUUUAGGACGAGUCUCAAACACCAGCAAACUCAAGGCACGUCCCCCAUCUCAGGUCUGCUGCGAAGGGACAGGAGGAAGACAGAGCCUUCCCCUCCUUCUACUUCAGUUUUUGUUUGUUUUUGAAAUAUUUUGUUUCAAAUAUUAAUGGACGAUAAGACAAUACGGAUAUGUCCCCUCCUCGCGAAGGGCAAGCAACCGCCCACCAACCCCUGUCAAGCGUGCCUUGCACUCCUGGGGACAAGCGGACGUGGCAGGAGUUGAGAUGCCCAAGAUGGAGCUAGGAAGGAUGAUCCGCGGUGGAAGGCGAGGGCCAAGGCUCGAGCUCUCAGCGCUCGCCAGCGUCGGACCAAGUAGCUUCGAAACUUGCCUUUCUCUCUUGCGAGGCGUCGGGGCCCAGUCGGUGGGCCGGUGGUGA
This is an RNA transcript of Lemur catta (Ring-tailed lemur), 540 nucleotides long. RefSeq lists it as uncharacterized. The transcript has a single exon. Lineage: Eukaryota; Metazoa; Chordata; Mammalia; Primates; Lemuridae. The record is from RefSeq and is a predicted model, not a curated record.